RNAcentral lists this ribosomal RNA (253 nucleotides) under uncultured bacterium. RNAcentral describes it as "partial 16S ribosomal RNA". It matches the Rfam family "Bacterial small subunit ribosomal RNA", at positions 524 to 776 of the family's 1533-position model. The record is from RNAcentral.
GACAGAGGGUGCAAACGUUGUCCGGAAUCAUUGGGCGUAAAGCGCGUGUAGGCGGUCCGGUAAGUCCGCUGUGAAAGUCGAGGGCUCAACCCUCGAAUGCCGGUGGAUACUGUCGGGCUUGAGUACGGGAGAGGCGAGUGGAAUUCCUGGUGUAGCGGUGAAAUGCGCAGAUAUCAGGAGGAACACCGAUUGCGAAGGCAGCUCGCUGGAACGUUACUGACGCUGAGACGCGAAAGCGUGGGGAGCAAACAGG